CAAGACAGGCGUGAAAUCCCCGGGCUUACUGGGAAUGNGCCUGUGACUGUAUAGCUAGANNGUGUCANNNNNNNUAGAAUUCACGUGUAGCAGUGAAAUGCGUAGAUAUGUGGAGGAAUACCAAUGGCGAAGGCAGCCCCUGGGAUAACACUGACGCUCAUGCACGAAAGCGUGGGGAGCAAACAGGAUUAGAUACCUGGUAGUCCACGCCCUAAACGAUGCUGACUAGUUGUUCGGGAUUUACAUCCUGAGUAACGUAGCUAACGCGUGAAGUCAGCCGCCUGGGGAGUACGGUCGCAAGAUUAAAACUCAAAGGAAUUGACGGGGACCCGCACAAGCGGUGGAUGAUGUGGAUUAAUUCGAUGCAACGCGAAAAACCUUACCUACCCUUGACAUGUCACUAACGAAGUAGAGAUACAUUAGGUGCUCGUAAGAGAAAGUGAACACAGGUGCUGCAUGGCUGUCGUCAGCUCGUGUCGUGAGAUGUUGGGUUAAGUCCCGCAACGAGCGCAACCCUUGUCUUUAGUUGCUACGCAAGAGCACUCUAAAGAGACUGCCGGUGACAAACCGGAGGAAGGUGGGGAUGACGUCAAGUCCUCAUGGCCCUUAUGGGUAGGGCUUCACACGUCAUACAAUGGUGCAUACAGAGGGUUGCCAACCCGCGAGGGGGAGCUAAUCUCAGAAAAUGCAUCGUAGUCCGGAUCGUAGUCUGCAACUCGACUACGUGAAGCUGGAAUCGCUAGUAAUCGCGGAUCAGAAUGUCGCGGUGAAUACGUUCCCGGGUCUUGUACACACCGCCCGUCAUACCAUGGGAGUGGGUUUUGCCAGAAGCCGUUAGCCUAACCGCAAGGAGGGCGACUGCCACGGCAGGGUUCAUGACUGGGGUAAAGUCGUAACAAGGUAACC
RNAcentral lists this ribosomal RNA (906 nucleotides) under uncultured bacterium. RNAcentral's name for it is "bacterial SSU rRNA". It matches the Rfam family "Bacterial small subunit ribosomal RNA", at positions 584 to 1501 of the family's 1533-position model. The record is from RNAcentral.